RNAcentral lists this long non-coding RNA (326 nucleotides) under Capsicum annuum. RNAcentral describes it as "long non-coding RNA (CANN_LNC013906)". Lineage: Eukaryota; Viridiplantae; Streptophyta; Magnoliopsida; Solanales; Solanaceae. The record is from RNAcentral.
GGGCAUGUCCCGAUGUUGGUUGUUUUUGGAUUAGUAGAGGCUUUAUGGAUAUUACUGUGGAUUGGGUACUGAUGUUGACAUUGUUAGAUGUCUUUGAGUUUAUUACUUUUCUAUCUUGGUAUAUGUUUGGAAUUCAACCGCUGCUAGGUGUUAUGUUCUGUAUUGACUAGGCAAAUGGGUUGGUCUCCAGUCCUCAGUGGACUUGGGAUACCCGUCACGGCUAGACCCUGGUUCGGGUCGUGAUUGACCCCAUAGUGAGUGAAUUGUUUUUUCUUCCUCCAUAAGAAAAGUAUUUAAAUAUUAGUCUUCCUUUCUUUUUAUUUAUA